Molecule: ribosomal RNA, 472 nt
Filed under: uncultured bacterium
Lineage: Bacteria
Description: SSU rRNA
Rfam family: Bacterial small subunit ribosomal RNA
Source: RNAcentral
AGGAUAAACGCUGGCGGCGUGCAUGAGACAUGCAAGUCGAACGGACGAUCAGGGCUUGCUCUGAUCGUUAGUGGCGGACGGCUGAGUAACGCGUAGGUGACCUGCCCCGAAGUGGGGAAUAACUGCCCGAAAGGGUGGCUAAUACCGCAUGUGGUGGUGUGUUCAUUCACACCAGUAAAGCCGCAAGGCGCUUCGGGAGGGGCCUGCGUCCGAUUAGCUCGUUGGUGGGUAACGGCUCACCAAGGCGACGAUCGGUAAGUGGUCUGAGAGGACGAUCACCCAGACUGGGACUGAGACACGGCACAGACUCCUACGGGAGGCAGCAGUCGGGAAUUUUGCGCAAUGGACGAAAGUCUGACGCAGCAACGCCGCGUGAGGGAUGAAGGCCUUCGGGUUGUAAACCUCUUUUAUCAGGGAAGAUAAUGACGGUACCUGAUGAAUAAGUCACGGCUAACUACGUGCCAGCAGCCGC